This 253-nucleotide ribosomal RNA is filed under the name uncultured bacterium. RNAcentral describes it as "partial 16S ribosomal RNA". It matches the Rfam family "Bacterial small subunit ribosomal RNA", at positions 524 to 776 of the family's 1533-position model. The record is from RNAcentral.
UACGGAGGGGGCUAGCGUUGUUCGGAAUUACUGGGCGUAAAGCGCGCGUAGGCGGACCUGCAGGUCGGGGGUGAAAGCCCGAGGCUCAACCUCGGAACUGCCUUCGAUACUGCGGGUCUCGAGUCCGGGAGAGGUGAGUGGAAUUCCUAGUGUAGAGGUGAAAUUCGUAGAUAUUAGGAAGAACACCAGUGGCGAAGGCGGCUCACUGGCCCGGUACUGACGCUGAGGCGCGAAAGCGUGGGGAGCAAACAGG